RNAcentral lists this long non-coding RNA (41290 nucleotides) under Coffea arabica (coffee). RNAcentral describes it as "long non-coding RNA (CARA_LNC000910)". Lineage: Eukaryota; Viridiplantae; Streptophyta; Magnoliopsida; Gentianales; Rubiaceae. The record is from RNAcentral.
CCUUCCCUGCCCUGGCUUUCCGCUUGCCAUUCGAACUUCUCACCCCACAACUCCCGUACACGGUGAAAAACACACACUGCGCUUUAUUGCCAUAUUCCUAGAAGGCAUAUAAUUUUCGACAGAACAACCCAUCAUUUCAUGCAGGAACUGCAACUUUUUUUUUUUUUUUUUUCAACAAACGAGGAACUGCAACUUUUUUCACUGCAGAAAAAAGUUCCGGAUUUUUUUCUUUUGAAUUUUGAUGCCAUCAUCAAUGUCUCAGAGCCGGGAGAAAUCCGGUCAGGAAACCUUGAACCCGUUCAAACCGUUCAUCGUUUCCAAUCAGCGCAACGAUUUCUUAACCACUUCCGUAAAAGGUGGCAUUUUGGCUUUCCUCUUCGUCUCCGCUGCGUUGCUUGUUUACUCGGUCUUCACAAGUCAACCUCCCUGGUUUAUCUGCCCCGAAUGCCCGAACCCGACUGACAACAUCUCCAGAACAGCCUGUAACACCGAGGAAGGCCCUAUUUCCAGCCCGACCAACAUAACCCACAUCGUGUUCGGCAUCGGCGGGUCGACCUCGACGUGGAACGAUCGGAGCCACUAUUCAGCGCUGUGGUGGCAGGAUAGCGUCACACGCGGGUUCGUUUGGUUAGAUAAGGAACCCGACGCGGACACACAGUGGCCCGAGAACUCCCCUCCGUAUCGGGUCUCCUCCGACUGGACCCGGUUCAGGUACACAAGCUCGCAAUCAGCAGUCAGGCUCUCCAGGAUCGUGGUGGAUUCUUUCCGGGUCGGGUUACCGGAUGUGAGGUGGUUCGUGAUGGGAGACGACGAUACGGUGUUUUUCCCGGACAACUUAGUUACGGUGUUAGCCAAGUACGAUCACCGUCAGAUGUAUUAUGUUGGUGGGAAUUCGGAGAGCGUAGAGCAAGACACCACUCAUUCCUAUGAUAUGGCUUUUGGUGGCGGAGGAAUUGCAAUAAGUUAUCCGUUAGCGGCGGAGUUGGUUAGAGUAAUGGACGGUUGUCUUGAUAGGUACUACAAUUUCUACGGCUCUGAUGAGCGGGUGUGGGCAUGUAUUAAAGAGCUAGGUGUCUCCCUCACUAGAGAGCGUGGGUUCCACCAGGUACGCUGUGAAGUAUUUUGAUGAUGCAUCCAUUAUAGUGCUAACUUUAGAGGAAUCAAUGCGCAGCACCAAUAUCUAUCGUAUGGUAACAAGUUCUUGUGUUGUUUGAAUUAGCGUUGCGUCGAUGUCGGAUUUUUUCUUGUUUUUGUGGCGUCUGAAAUUUUGUGCACUUCAAUUUAAGUGGAAAAAAAAAAAAAAAAAAAACCAGCUGAAGCAUUUUAAAAAAAAAAAAAAAAAAUAGCAGCUUAGUCCUAGGUCAAUGACGUCGUAUUCAUUCACGACUUUAAGAAAUGCUGACCGAUUUGGAAGUCUUUUCUUCAGGUCAAUGUAGUUUAGGUGAACUGCUUUGUGGGUGAACAUCUUCCCAUAAGUUUGCAUUUGUACAUUUGUCCUUCUUCCAUAGUUGGAUGGUGAACCGAUGUUUUAAAAGUAGUGCCUGUAAUCCCCAUUUGGCAAAUAAGUUUGUUUUGGGUGUUUGGGUGAAAUUUUGCUGUAAAAGUUGUAGGAAAAAUUUUUGAAACGUGUAAAUUUUUGGAUAUUUUGAAAUGUAUAGUUUAAAAAUUUUGAGAAGUUUUUUGAGUUUACUAUGACUAAAUGUUAUUAAAAAACUUGUAGCAGACAAACAUAAACAAAAAUUUAUUUACCAAACAGGCCCUAGUUUGCUAUUGUAGAAAAAUUUACUGUAGAAAAAUUAACCUUAUUUUAUACUGUGUAGGGUCUGGUCUUGGUGCAACGUGGCCCGGUGAUUAAUUGCAUGUAGGUGUGUCCUCAUGUGCUGUCGAUUUUUCAAAUGUUGGUGGAUUGUAGUAAUUAUGGAGUAAAACUUCUCUAGAUAAAAUUUUGAUUGUAGCUUUUUCUUUUUCUACUAUGAAAUAUCUAAAAUCUAAAUAUGCAAUAAAAUUACAAUAGCAAAAAAACUCAUAAUCCAAACAGUACAAUAUAAAAUCAAGUGAAAUAGUCAAAUGAGAAUAGCCCCUCGGUAGAGUUGAAUGCAGAAAAAUGCUUCAGUUGGGUUGGAUAAAAGUUCAAAAGAAUAUGGAUAUGGGUCUCUCGAUACAUAUUUUUUUUGUAUAAUUAUACACUUAAAAUUUAACACAACAUUUUAUCUGACAAAAUUAAGACGGUACGUUUCAUAAAAGUUUUUUUUUUUUUUUUUCGGUUCAGUACAUAUGUUAUAGAAUAUAGACACGUGUUCUUGCAUCCCCAGUAGUUUUUCAGCACACUAGCUUGGGCGGCUACUACUAAAAUAAAGGACUUGUGAGCAGCCCAGUACUUAAAAGGAAGAACAUAUAGUUAAUAAAGCUACCUAAUAGCACUUUGGUCAAAUUGAAGGAUUAUCUCUAGUAUUACAAUCCUGCUAGAGUCUGAGGUUUUCAUUGAAGAAAGAAAUCGGUUUAUCUUGAUUAUUAUUUGUUGACUAGGCACAUUUUCUUUUAAAUAGAUUAUGAUGUGUGUUCUUACUUAGCGGAAUUCACCACCAUUUAAUUUGACCGUACCUUGUGAUUUGUGAUUACCAUUAAGAUGUAGAUAUUGGGCCACGUAUGCGCUUGUCCUUCAAGCCUUUUUCUCGUCUUCAAGAUUCUACUUGGAAAACGAUGUAAGCAUAGGCCACUUCAUGUGAUUGCCAAGGUCUUUUAUGUUCUUGUUGGUUGUUGCCAUGGUAUCCACUUCCCACUAUGCUUAGGAAAAGAUCUAGAUUCGUCUUCCUCCUACUCCCUGAACAAUCUUUUAAUUCUAGAAUAUGCAAUUAAAGAUUACAAUUCAUGUCAUUAAGAUUUUCGUUCCCCCCCCCCCUCCUUUUUCAAAGAUGUAUGACAAAGGAGUCGAUAUAACGAGGUAUAUAUCCUUGGUUAUGUUUUGCUUAUUUCAGAAGCUCAAUAAGAGAUGUAAUAGAAAUGUGAAAUAGGAAGGGAACAUGAUGAUCUGUAUCUAAAAAUGGCUCUUUGCCCUUAAUUCCCACAAGCCAAUCCGUCCAUGCCUUCCCUUUUCUUCUCUUUGGUGGGGUUUUGGGGGGGAAGAAAAGAAAAAUUAUUGCCAAGGACAGCAACAAACUGUAGAGAAGGCCAUUAUAUCGUUUUUCAAUGUCUCCACCCAAUUGAUGGUUCUUGGUCUACCAUUAUGAAGUCAGGCGUACCUUUUAAGUUUUAACUACGCAAAGAAACAAAGAAAGAAAAUUUAUGUUCAAGUGUAACACUUCAGCCCCAGGCAACGAAAGUGCUGGACAAAAUGUAAUAUGCUAGAACAUGUGACAAUUAGUCCAGUCAUCUUAUAUAUUAGACUACGACUUUUCAAAUUGAAUGCAGUCAACUCGCACUUGCCAUUUCUAUUUGAAGUUAUGGUUCGAGAUGCCAACCUGUAGAUGAUUUUUUUGGUCCUUAAUUCUUGUUUGGUAUUAUUACUCUUAACAUCAUUUUGCCAAAAGAAAAAGAAAAAAAAAUCAAUCAUGUUACUUUCAUGUGAAAAAAAGUACAAUCAAACUUCUGCUUAUGCUUAUGGCAUUAAAACUUUCAGAUUGAUAUUCGAGGUGACCUAUUUGGUCUUCUGGCAGCACAUCCUAUGGUACCCCUUGUGUCGCUCCACCACCUUGACCAUGUGAAACCAUUGUUUCCAAAUCUGACGCAGCAUGAGUCGCUGGAAAACCUCAUCCAAGCAUACCAUAUGGACCCAGCCCAGAUAAUGCAGCAGUCAUUUUGCUACCAUGGGUGGUAUAAAUGGUCUGUGUCUAUCUCAUGGGGCUACGCUGCGCAGAUAUACCCUUCAUUAUUGAUAGCUGGAGACUUGGAGAAACCAUUGCAGACGUUCCGGACAUGGCGGAGUUGGAGCAAUGGACCCUUUAUUUUCAAUACACGUCCUGUGAAUCCUGACCCUUGUGAACGCCCGGCUGUAUAUUACAUAGAGGGGAUAGGCGAAGAUGGCAACGGUGGGACUCUCACUAGUUACAGGAGGUCCAUUGCUGAGCCUGAGAAUUGUAGGGGAGGACACCAGGGCCAUGCAGUGGGUAUUGAGAGAGUUCUCGUCUCAGCAUUGAAAAUGGACCAAAAAGAAUGGAAGGUUCGUUCCAUAUUUUUCCCGUCGCUUAACCAUUUUAAUAUGCAUAUUAGCCGCCACUAAGACUCUGAAGGUAUGUCUUCGCACAAAGUAGGACACUGAUAAUUGAUUGAACCAAAAAGCCAGAAUCCCAGAAGUUGGAUAAAGUCUUGAACCAGACUUUGCUAGGCGUGGCAUUUCCUGUCUUGUUUCAUAACUUAAAAAAUGUUGAGCAUCACAAAUUAAUUGAAAGUUCCGGCCGCGCUAUUUUCCAAAAUGCUUUGGUGAUUAUUCUAUAUCCAGCAUUUUACUUGCAUAAAGUGUCCUAAUUGUUUUUACUUCUUGUGCAAUUGCUUUUGAGAGGUUGGCUAUACCUAUACGCAAGCAUUAGGCAAUUGAAGUAUGAGACGGCUGUCAAUUUUAAUUUGUAAAUAUUGAAAUUUGGUAGUGUUAUUCUUGCUUAUGCCUCUUCUAAAUUGCCUUUUAAACAGCUACGAGAGAGGUCAUCUCUUGAUCCAUGUUAUACGACCAAAAAAGUUGCUUCUUUUUGGUGAUUAUAUGUUUUUUGGAUGAUAUAUCUCGUGGUCUGUGAAUGCUUGUGCAGAGCCCCCGUAGGCGAUGCUGUGAAAUCAAAAGCUCCAAGGACGGCACUCUAAAGGUGUUGAUUAGAAGAUGUAAUCAACAAGAGUCCAUUACCCCCUGAGGUUUUGGUCAUAGAAUACCCUUUUCUUUGUUUUUUUCCCCUGUCGUAUCGUAGCUUUCAAUAGAUGUUUAUCUUGAAAGCAAUUUAUUGGUGCUGGGGAUCGUGUAAAGUUGGCUCUCUAAUAAUUAAAUAGCGUAGAAGAUUGAAACUUUUUGUUACUUUGUGGUAACUAUUCAACAGAGUAAAAUGCAAGGUCUAGCCAUCCUUUUGAUUGGAUGAAAAAAAAAUUCUCUCAUCACGGAAAAUCCAACAAUACGAAGAUUAUGGAAAGCGAUGCUAAUGAACCGAUCAAUUCUGUUCAUAGAAUGUACACGAGAAUAAGUUGACUCUUGAGCUCCGACUGAAGGAGAAACGAAGGGAAAGAUCAGAAGAGUUUUGAGCCUUCACUAUACAAAUCAAAAGUCUUAGAAAAUUCAUUCCUCUUUCAGGCGGUCGAAUAGAGAAUUUGCCACUCUUAUGGAUUCAUAAAGUCCUUGCGAAAAAAUCUUGCUGCAAAAAUGUCAAUGGUUGCUGGUAAUUCAUAAAGCCUUCACCCACGCCUCGCUCCUUGCACAAUCUUUUUGGGAUACGGUGCUAGUUGCAGAACAAUGUGUCUCUUGUUGCAUUACCGGUGGUUGGGUUCACUCUGAUGGUAAAAAGUCUUCAGACGAAGUGAAAAUACAUGAAAAAAAAUGUAUCAGGACUCACAGUAACCACAUUACCCGCCUGCAACCUUGCAAAGGUAUUCUCGUUGAUCAUCCCGGAGAGGAACAUCCGUAAAAUCUGCAAUUACAAAAUGCUCUAUAUCAGCAACUUUUUUUUUUGUUUUAAUUUAUCCCUCUCUCAAGAAACAUAUUACUAGCAUGCUUAUGAGUCACAAUUUGAAUAAUUUAGGCAGCAUUUACCCCUCUUUUUGGGUAAGUGAGAGGAUUUGAAUUUAAAAUCUCUUACUUUCAAUUCUUUCCACCUUUCCACCCAACCCAACUCUCCCCGAAUGCAGCAUUCCUAGGUUCCAUGGGGUUGAAAUCAUUUCCAAGACCCAGUAGCCGUCUCAAUACCAAAUGUGAAGGAAUAUCUAAUCAGUAUAAUCAAGUCCAUAUCGUGAUUAUAAGUCGUUUCUCGUUGUUUUGUCACAAAGAUCAAGAAACAAGUGAAUAGAAGAUCAUCGCAGACAGAAAAUAGGAAACAUGGGCCAAGUGAGGGCACCAAGCGUUUUUCUAUUCUCUGUACAUGUCACAGUUAGUUACUUGUUUGCUCCUGUUUUGAAUUCCCUGCAAAGUUAUAUCUAACUAUCCGACACCUGAAAUUUAUAACAGUAUGGUAAAUGAUGCAUCAUGGCAAUUGUAAGUAUAAAAUUAAAAGUUAGGUCUUCUUACCUGCGCCAGUUAUAAUUGACCCUCUGAAAGAUGUAUUCCCGGUAGCAAGUGCGCCUUCCAAGUUUGCAUUGCUCAAAUUUGCCUGCAGAAAGUGACAGUCACACCGGAGAUGGAAGUCAAUUACAAGGUAAAAAAAACUUAAGAAUCACAACUAGUACGUUACAGCUCCCAAGUGUAAUUAGUUAUGUAAGCUCCAAAUCCAGUUCAACAGCUAUAAAAGCAUGCUCAAAGGCUAUGUGGAUGGAAAGACAGCCAUAAUUUCUUGAACAGAAUCUAUUACAAUCAAACAUGCACUGAAAUCCAGAAUGUUGACGAUACCAUCAAACAGCAUCUGGACAUCUGAAAUAGUUAAAAGAACUUCCAACCAAACACAGCCAUUCCCUUGUUGGUCUUAAAUUCUUUUUAUGAGCACCAUCAUAUUUUGGCGAGUAAAGAGGUGGUAUCUUUUGUACCCAACUCUUCUCCAUGGACUAGAAUAAAUUAAGCUUCUAGUUUGACUGCAUGUUAGCUUGCUACUCAAUGUGGACUGGUCAGGUACUCAUACAUUCCCAUCUUGAUUUUUUUUUUUGGAAGCAUAAGGGCAUUGGCCACAGAAAACAUCCAAUUAUUCAGAAGAUGAACAUCCUAUAUUCCCCCAAGAAAAAAGCACCUCAACUGAAUAUGCAGUGUAGCACCUUGCUCGUUACAAACAUGGACUAAUGGCAAAUGAUGAAUAGACACAGUGAAUUUUUUUAUGGCAACAAAAUCAACACAACUCCAAAAGCAUGAAAUCUAUGUAUGACAUGAAGCAAAAUUCAUUACCUUGGUCACAUUUGCUAAAGAGAAGUCAGCUCCUCUAAGAUCAGCAUCAGAUAGAUCAGCACCUGAAUACAUAUAAAGCAGAAACCAAGAUUUUGUUUUGAAUAGACAAAAGCUUCACGAUCAGAAUGUCAGAUGAAGUAAUAUAGCAUGCUCUAUCUAAACCAGGGCUUUAGAUUUGUGUAGCUGCCAAAGUACAUUAGUAAAGCAGUUUUGCAUAAUCAUUUUGAUUUUCGAGUUAUUCCCUUCAGUGACCAUCACUGAGCUCCAUUUUUGGAACCUAAAUCUCACACGUUAGGUGCCAGUUUAGAAAUGAAAACUUAGAAUGGCAAUUGCUACACUAAUUGGUUUGUCCACAUCAAGAACAAAGUAAGUAGUUUGCCCUAGGUGCUUUUAGUUUACACUUUUCUUGUAAGUUACAAUUGUAGUCUUUUGCUGUAGUGGAAUCGGUGGCAGGCGGUUCAUCAUCAAGCAUUUCAGUAAUCGAAUUUACUAUCCCAGAUACUCCCUAUGUCUGCUACUUUAGAUAAAAAAUUCUGUGUUUCCAUACUAGAAAAGCAAAUGACAUUUCAGUAGAGGAUAUACCUGUUAAAUCAGCAUCAAAGAAGCUAGCUCCUACUAAUGCUGCGCCUUUGAAUUUGGUUUGCCUAAGUAUUGACUGUUCAACAGAAUUCACAUGACGCCACGCGACUUAUCCAGGAUUGAAUACCCCAACCAAAAAAAAAAAGAAAAGAAAAAAGGUAUGCAGCAUACUUAAUCUAAAUGCAUAGAGAAGUGGACGAGUUUCAAUUCCACGUACAGUUUUAAAAUCUUGCUUGACCAAACUCUUCCCACUAAAAUCUUUCCCAGAGAGAUCUUGUCCCCUGGUAACUUCUGCACCGUAAGGACCUCCACCCUUUUCUCCCCAGAUUAUGUAACCAAAAAAAAAAAAAAAAAUCAUUAAUCAUUCCAAAAAAAAAAACCCACAAUUUAGAAUCACAAUAAACGCUAAAAUAAUUGCGGGCUAAAUUGUAUUUUUGGUUACCUUGAAUGCUAAAGCAGGGUCGGAUGCAAAGAAGAGGGAAGCAGAGAGAAGGGCGAGAAAGCUUGCCCUGGAUAUUGAUUCUCCCAAGCAAAGCAGAGGAUUCUGAGGAGCUUGAGACUGAUGAUUCACGGGACGCUGUAAUGUGUGGAAAUAAAAUUGGCCAAGUUAAUCAAAUUGUAGUCUUGUGUACUUUUUGAGAUGAAUUCACCGGAAAAUGUAGCGUACCUGUGGCCUAGUGGCAGUGCAAUUGAAGGGAAGAGAAAGAGACGGGAAGCAAAAAUGCUGCUGACUGGGAAGCGGAUUGUCAAGUUUGGGCUUUGGAAGGAGUUUGGAAGACAAGCAGACGUUCACAACUGCCAUUGCUUCUGAUCCAGAAAUGGACUCACAUCACAUGUGGAUAAUCCCUGCGCGCUUAAUUUAUUUUGGUAUACUACUAAACUUUUCUUACUAUUUACUUGGUCAAUAAAUAUCGGAGUACUACCCUUUUUCUUCUUUUUUUUUUUUGCACCCAUAACAUUUUAAUAGUUGUCCAUAGUUACGUUAGUGGUUUUUUUUCCAGGCAAAAAACUUGUGCGCUAUUGUUUGUUUCGUUUCAUUUAAAAAAAAAAAAUUGACAUCAAAAUGCGUAGUUUUGUUUGCACAUUUACGCCAUUAGAGCGAAGAUUACAUCAGGCGGGAAAUCAAACCCACCAAACAACACGAUGAACCAGUGAAAGCGGUUUACAUUUGAUUACCGCCGAGCAUUUGCACUCAUCUAUACUUUACCCUUUUUUUCUUUUUUUGUCAAUACAAUAAAUCUUUUUAUUCUACUCCUACUUCUAUUCUAUAUUAAAGAGGAGAGAAUGGUUCCAAAUAGGCCAAGGGAAAAUCUAGAUCAAGGGAAUUGAUCCACUGGAUGAAACGAGUGCCUUUGCACUCAUUAGUGAAACAUCUAGAAAAUCCUGGAAAUGAAUGCAAGUCAAGGGACACUAAGGCUCUUCUUGAUCGUCAGCUACUCUAAAGGUAGUUAGUUAUAUUUUUCCUAAUCAAGGAACCAACUUUUUGUGUGACAUCUUAUUAGUUUACUAAUGCAUGCUACUGUAGCAUAAAAGGGUACUUUUUCUAAGCAUAAAUUUUAAGCCUCUAGAAUUCCGUAAUUAAAACCUAAGACCACUAGGAACUUCUAUGAUUCAAUGCUACUUAAGCCAUGUUUAGAGAUACAGAUGACUAGAGUUUGAAACUAAAUCACUUUAAAAAAAAACUAAAUUGCACGUAUAUACCCUAUCUGCACUUAUUAGGUGACAUGUUCUUUGUACAAAACUUCUAGAUACAAAAAAAGUUUGCUUAACACACUGAGAUAGCAACUCGAAAGUUUGUAUUCUUGCCAGAUGCUAGAUAAUCAUAUGCACACUACCUUUGCAUUGCCUUUCUAAAAAUUAGCACCCACUCGAGAAUAAGUUAUAGUUAUUAAAUUCGACACGACUUGGCGGUCAAACCUAUCAAUCCAAUGAAUCGGUAAUUGAAUCGGAUUGGAUUUCUAAUUAAAUCGAUUGAGCAUAAAUUGUUGACUAAUCAAUGAUUCGGCAGUUCAACAUCGAAACCCAGCGAAUCGGUAAUUGAAUCGGAUUGGAUUUCUAAUUAAAUCGAUUGAGCAUAAAUUGUUGACUAAUCAAUGAUUCGACAGUUCAACAUCGGAACCCAGCUGAUUUUGUCCACAAACUAGGUUUUGUGAAAAAAAUUUAAUUAGCUUUGCUAGGAUUCGAACUUUGAACUUUUGGUAUGUGUCAGAAUAUACUAACCACCAAGUCACUUUGUCAUACAUUAAUAGAGUAGUUUUUUUUUUAUAAUAUCCAAAUGUUUUGUCAAUUCUAUUUUUUUUAAAUAUAUCUAAAACAAUUUUACUUGAAAUCUUUUAAUAAAAACUAAUGACUCCCCAAACUCUAUAAAUUAUAAAAUGGAUUUCAAAAAUAACAUAUUACAUAAUUCAUUUUAAAGGCAAAAUUUAUUUUUAAUAAUUUUUUGCACUUUAAAUUUGUAAAAAAACUAGAUAAUUACACUAAACACAUAAAAGAUUUUACACUUGAAGUUUGAUGGAUUACUAAAUAAAUUUAUAUUUUAUUGACUCUUAUAUGAAUUAAUUAUUCUAUAGCAAAUUAAAUUAAAUGAGCAUUCGCAUAAAUUAAAUGAGCAUUCACCAUGACAUUGUUUAUUACAAUUUAUAUCAUAUAUCUUAUAUAAAAAAUUAUGAAAUAUAAUAUUUAAAUAUAUUAGUGACUUGUUGGUUGAAUCAGUGACUCGUUGACCUACCUUUUUGAUCGUGUUUCUUUCCGGACUGAUUUUAAUAACUAUAGAAUAAAUUCCUUAGAUUAGCACAUACUCGAGAAUAAGUAUUUUUUUAUAUAAUAAAUUUUAUUUUACACGUAUUCCUACUCCAUGUUAUGAGGAGAAAGAUCUAAAGAGGUUAGACUGAAGUAUUACCAACUCAGACGGUGCCUACUCGAGAAUAAGUAUCACAUAUCGUUUUUUUUUUUUUUUUUUUUUUUUUUUUUUUUUAUUCCCAUAACGAAACACGCAUAACUUCCACGUAUACGACAUCCUCCAGCUAAACGCCACCAACUUGGAUGCACCGUUUCCGAGUCCUUUACGAUAUAGACUACUGUCUAACAACCGCGUUGAAAUAACUAUGAAACAUCGGUUCUGUCUCGUCCAUGACUUGAUAAUUCUUUUCUUAAACCGGUAAUAAACAAAUGAUUACAGUCCUGUCAUUUGUCACCUGGCGGAUAAUAGCGGGGGCAUGUUUUAAUUUCGCGCUGGUUUAACAAUUUUCCUAUCAGUACAUUGAUGUCCUUUUUUUUAACCACUGCGGGGAACCAGGACUUAACUAGCAGAAGGUAUUUUUUUUAAAAAAUUUUGUCCUAAACUAAAAGAAAUUGCACUAUGUAUAAUUUUUAUUUUAUUUUUCAAUUUGAUGGCAUCAUAAGAAGCAUAAUUAGCUGAUAAUUAAGCAAAAAAGAAUUGAAUUUAUAUUUCUUAGCACUAACUAUGUAUACAUUAAUAGGUUCGAAUGCAUAACAAUUAAUCUCAAUUUAAAUUUUAUAUAUGUGACAUGCAUUCAAACUUAUUAUUAAUUUAGAAAAUAUUAAAAUAAAAUAGUUUACCAUAUGAAAAAAGUUAUGUUGAUCACAUUAGUCGUGAAUCAUAUCAACUUAUGUUCUCUAAUAAAGUCUUCAUCAUCUUAAAAAAUAAGUCCCUGCAAAAAUAAUACAACAAACAUUGACCGUGUAAUAUUAUUAAAUGUGAUAACGUAGUAUGUUUACUCCACAUAGUAUAACAAUGCCAAUGUGUCUUCUUCUUGGAGAUCAAGACUUACAAUCAAACUGUCUGAUGCAUUUAUAGAACUUCAAAAGCUAAAGAAACAAUUUCAGCGUUUAGAUAGAAUUAAAAUGUAAGCAUUAUAAAUAUUUUAAACUGUUGGAAUAACUUGUCGAAGCUCUAACUUGCUUCACUAUAUUAGUUUAUUUAGACGGAAUGACUUGAACAAUUACGUUGCUAGAGACUAUUUAGAUUAAAUGUAGUUACUGCUCUCUCGGCGACUAUCUUGUCUUCCCAAUAUCAACUCUCCAAUCCAAAAUUGCACGAUGCCCUAUUGGAAAUUUCAUUUCCAUUCACAUAAAACUUCUUGUGUCAUUCAAAAAUUGCAAGUGUACAAUUGUAUAAAUUGGAGAUAAAUAUGUUUUCUUGGAACGAUGGGAUGCUACUUGCAAAUGGCAUCUAAAAUAUACUAUGACGCAACUUUUAAUAAAAGAUACUUUCUUUAAUUUGUAAAUUGGCCUCUUUUACCUUUGAAUGAGUGUCGUCGUAAUCGCCUACCAAAAAACAAAAAAAAAAAAAAAAAGAUGUCGUAGUCUGCAAUUCCAAAAUAUACAUAUUACCUUUGAAAGUAAAAAUACAUCAACAAAACGUAGUGGGUGCUUCUCUUCCUACCAUAUCUUUUAUACUAGUUUAGAGAAAAAAUCCUUGCUUUUACAAAGAGGCAAGAUGGUUACCCCAAAUUAGGUGCUCGCGAAUAGCUCGGUCAAACGCUUGACCGAGUGCGAGUCGAGCUUGUUAAUAUAUCAAGCCGAGUUUGAGUAUUAAUUUGUCAAACUCGAUGGCUCGUCGAGCCUUGACGAGCACAAAUUAAUUAAUUAAAAAUUAUGUAUUUAGUUAUUACAAUUUUACUCUUUUAUGCUUGGAGUUGUCUAAAUUACCAAAAUGUUGGCUAUAACUUUAAAAUAUUUAUAGGCCAUAUAGUCAUUUCACAAGGAAAAAAAUAACUUGAGAGGUAAAAAACAAAAUUGGCUUUUCUUAAUUCCUUCUUCCUCCUCAAUUUAUGACUUCUACUUUCUAGUUUCUACAACAGUUUAUGGACAUUUCUUGUGACGAAUUACGAAUGUUCCAACUUGUUUCAAUUGCUAAUAGCCUGAUCUAAAUCAGGAAAUUGGGCUUGCAUCAAUCUAUUUUGCAUGAAGAGUUAUAUUCUACAAUUAUGGAAGUGGACAAGGAUCUCGAGCUCGAAUACUUGACUUCAGCUCGAUCAUACUCACAAGAAAAUCGAAUCGAUCUCGAGUUUUCGAGCAAUUUUUCGAUUUCGAGUCCGAACUCUAUUUCUACUAAUCGCUCGAGCUCGAGUAAUAUAUCUCUGCUGUCGAGUUGAGCUCGAGUAUAGCGAUACUCGUGCUCGAUUCGACUCGAUUACAGUCCUACUCCAGAUUCACAACAGCAAACAUUAUCUUGUUUAAUUAAGAAAAACUAUAAUGUGGUUCAUUCAUCAGAGAAGUGAUGAAUCGUAAUUGACGAUGGCCGGGAUUAUUGAAAUUGAGCUUUCGUUCAAGCAUUGAUUGUGAAACGAGGAGCCCUUGGCGUCGUAAAAUCCAAGCGUAGGAGAAGAAUGAAAGCAGGGGUACUAUUGAGUCAAGUCAAGUUGGAGUAAUACCAUACUCGAGUUCGAACUUGACGGGUAUGAGUGUUAGUUGAGUUUGAUAGAGUCAAGGGGUUUAAAUUUGAGCUCGAUUCGAGAAAGUUGCAAAAGUAUUUGAGCUUAACUCAAUAAGGUUCGCAAACAAUGACGAACUUUAUUGAGUUCAAACACUAAAUUUGAACAAUGUCAAGCUUGUAUUUGUUAUCUCAUGCAUAUGUGUAUUUAUUUAAUGCAAUUGUCAGUAUAAUUUGUUGAACUUUCGAGUACCUAUGUUUAAACUCAAAAUCGACUUGAUAGUACUUUUAAGUAGCUCGAUCUCGAGCAAAAUGAGCUCAAAUCGAGCCAUUGAUCAAGUAGUUUACGAGCUCGGGUCGAGCCACCCGAUCCUACAUCACCGAAAGCGCCGAGGGACUCGCAAGAGCAUAAACAUUAGGACGUGUCAAACACUAGUGUUUAGCAGCUGUGUUGGGGGUCUAAGGAAUCAGAAUAAAGCACGGUGCAGAUGUACGUCAGUUGCCAUGGGUUGCUCCUAAUCACGUUCUGUAUAUUAACGUCACAAAUUCCACGAAUAGAUUUGUUAAAAUUCACUCAGAAACAAUAAAUCACAACCACGAACUAAAACAAAAAAAAUUAAUCAAUUUGGAUCUUGUUGAGGCAUUACAACAAACAAGAGAAUAAUUAUUAAGUUUCCUAUCAAAAAAUGUAAUUAACACGUAGGAGACCUACAUAAAUAGUAAUUGAGUGUUAUAAUUCUAUCACUCCCUCCUCCUAUUUUGAUAGGUUUAGUUUUUUUUUUUCAUAUUAUUUAAAAAAAGCUAGUUAGUUUUGUUGGAAGAAUAAAUCUAGUUAACUAUCUUCCUAAAAUACCCUUAUAUCAAAUGGAGUAUGAUUAAUUAGUUUUAUAUUAAAUAAUUUAAGUUAUAAUAAAAAAUAAUCUAUAUUAAAUAAGAUAAGGGCAUUUGAGAGGUGUUAUAAAUUAACUAUAUUUUUCAGUUGAAAAAUAUACUAUAAUUUGAAAUCGAUGAAAAAGGAAAAUAAACGUAUCAAAAUGAGACUGGGAGUUUUAAAUUAUAUAAAUAAAUAAUAAUAAAAUGUAACUUAUUCAAAUAAUGCUACCAUUGAACAAAGAAGCGGUUGCCGAAAACCGUCUGUGAUGCCAGAUGAACGCGAGUAUCAGUAAAAACAUGCAGCAGUAAAAACUAAAAAGACGUAUACUGGCACUAAUACUACUGUAAGAAAAGAGCGGCAGGGAAGUGCGACUCGGCUACUAGCAUCCUACUCGGAGUUAAUAAUGCAGGCUAGGUGAAUGGGGCAGAGAGAGAGAGAGAGAGAGAUCAGAGAUGAGAUGUCGCACAAUUGCAGACUACUCCAUCCAUCCAUACAGAUUUGAUUCCAGAGAGAGCCUUGGCAUUAGAUACUUUUGUCGGGAGUCGGAAACAGUGACGUGUUUCCAUUACCAGCCCCUCGCUUCCCCGCCCCACCUUCUUCCUUUGCUCCUUUGCCCAUUGUCCGAAUUACCAUUUGCUUGCUUGGUUUCCCCCCUCAGGGCCUCGUGCGCACGUUACCCCACACUCACUUCCUGCAGUCCCCCCAUUUCUUGCAUUCUUUUUCUUUUUUCCAUUUCGAGAUAGAGAUGGAGAUAGGGAUUUGACCGAUUUGUCUCCAGCGAGAGUGCGAGCGUCUGUGGUGCGCUCGCGCGCGGUACUCCUGACUCCUGCCGCAGCCUUUUACCAAAUACCAAGAGGUGACUUAGGACCAUGGGUUUUAAGUCGCAACGGAUCUUCUGUCCCACACCCUAUGCCACUCUCUGUCUCAUUUUUUAUUAUAUUAUUAUUUUUCAUUCAUAAACAUCAUGUUUUAAUUCUUUUUUAUUUUUUAAGUACGCUGCUCUUCUCCCACUCUUCUCCAACCAAAGAAAACCCAAUCAUAUUAUGCCACCUGUCUCCCGGAAAGACUGACGUUGACGUGUCUGGUCAAACCUUCGUUCCGGUUUGAAAAUUCCUUCUAACCUCCAAAUUAUUUGGAUAAUAAUAUAUAAUAAUAACAGGAGCCCUUGCUUUAGAAAACAGAGGGGAAAGGAAGAAAGGAAGGGGGAUUUAAAUGUUUCUUGAACCUUUUUUGCUAAAGAAGAAAUGCAUUUAUUAUUUUUAUUUUUUGGUUCGAGAUGACUCCAAAUCCAACCAUUGGACUCUAAGCGCUCCUUAAGUGGCUGUGUCCUCCAAUCAAUUCAAUUCUACCUAAGUCCUUUUCCCAAAAAAAUAAAAUAAAAUAAAAAGGACCAAUAAGGUAAAAGACUAUCUGAGUGAUGAACUGGUGAAUUAUUUACUCUUCUUAGUGCUGGACUACAGUGUCAAGUUUUGUGAUAGGCUAGUGAGUUGUUAACUUUUUCGCGUUAGAUCAAAGGAACAUUUUUUUGUGGUUCGGUUGGAGUAAUGCAUAUGCACUCACUACCUAUCAAUUUUUGACAAUCAUAUAGUUUGUAUAUCAUUUCAUUUGUAAAUUUUUUUUUGCAUGCAUCAUGUAUAUUAAUUUUUAAAUAUUUUUUUUAUUUUUAAACACUUUUUUGUCUUAAAUAUAUCAUAUAAUAAAAAGUACUAUAGUGUUGUUUCAAAUAAUCUCCUUUCUCGCAUAUAGAAUUGAUGUCAUUUUCUAUUUUUCAUCUUAAUCUAGAUGUCGUGAAAAUAAUCUACUCGGAAAGAAGCUACAUAUCAUCACUCAAUCGAAAAGCAACCGUAUUUAAUGAAACUCGAUUGUUUAUUCACAAAUUUCCGGUGUUGUGUAUAGCUUUUCGACGCUCGUAAUUAAGAUUUUUUUUUUUUAGUAUUUAUUAGCAUUAAUUUUGACAUCAAAUGCUUUUAUCUCCUGUCCAAACACACUUAUUAUUAUCGUUGUGUGUGUUAAGUUAGAACGCUAUAACUUAAGUGCACUUUGUUAAAAUUAGAAGGUAAGAUUUAUGUCCUUAAUUAAAACUAAUACCCAUCAAUUAAAAAAAUAUUGAAAACAAGGUCAAACUUUAGAUGUCUUGUAUGUGUGUGUCUAUAUAUAUAUACACAUCGAGGUGAUCAUGAGGUUCCGAAGAGAAUAUAAAUUGCAAUCCACAUCCACAUUAUCUUUAUACAAUGCCAUCAAAUAAAUGGGAUAAUAUUGGAAACCUCAAUUGAGAUUUCUCUUAAUAUCAUUUAGUACUUUUAAAAUUUUAAAAAUAUCAUUUAUUUCUCUUACUUUUGUUACACUAAUAUUUAAAAACCCUAAACUACCCCAUUUACUUGCUAAAUAAAAAUAUUCCUAAACCACUUUGUUUAAUUCAAGAAAGCUAUCACUUAAAAAAUAAUCUCUAGUAGUACUACCACAUCACAAUGCUAUAACCCAUAAAAAUAUAAAUAUGAAAAAUAAAAAGAUAUUUGUAAAGAAGUAUACUUGUACUAAUUUAACUCUAUAUGCUCAAAAUCAAAUUCUUAUAAACAUUAUAUUUUUUCCAACUUCUUCUGAACCAAUGUCCAAACAUUUAAAUUGUACCAAUAAUUAUAAUAAUCAACUCAAAAUAAGCAAAUAAAUCAUAUCUUACUCUAUCACAAUCAUAAAAAUAAAAAAAAACAAAAUUCAAAUUAUUAUAAUUUAUCAAUAAUAUAUUGCAUAGUCAUCCAAAAAAUGAGUAGGAGAGAAUGUUGGAAAAAAAAAGAGAAAAGAAAGUGACUUUUAUUUAUGUUUUUAAUUUUGAGAUCUAUUUAUUGGAUAUGUGAAUUAUGUAUCAAAUAAGGGUUAAUAUAGACUUUUUACAAUUUCGAGAGUAGAUAAGUGAUGUUUUUAAAAUUUUAGGAGUGUCAAGUAAUAUUAGGAGAAACCUCAAAUGAGAUUUUUGAUAUUAUUUUGAAUUGUGGUUUUUCACAAUUUUUUUUUACAUUUUCUUUGUAAACACAAUAAAUUUUUUUAAUAAUUCGUAAACACAUUUUUUAAUCAACUUUUUACCUCACAUACAUUAAAUCUCUAUAUUAUAUUUUUUUCUAAAAAAACUCUUAAAAAUAAGAAUCCAAAAAUAACAUAACAAUUGAGUGAAAUCCCAAAUUUUCAACUGACAAAGUGGCCCUUAUUUGGAACCUUAGUUUUUAGGCAAGUUUGUAUAAUAUUAGUUUUUUAACAACUUUUACUACAGAAACCCCAAAAACUAAUCAAAGUUUUUAACCUACACACUUUAAAAUAUUCAAAAUACAAAAAAAAAAAAAGAAAAUUCCCUUCCUCUUUUCUUCUUCUUCCUUCCCCACCCCAACCCACCACCACCUCUGUCGCCAGCCACCACCUCCGCCGCUGGUUCCGGCGCCGAUUACCUCUUCCGGUGCCAUUCUUUUUUUUUUCCCCUUUCUUCCUCUUCCCCUCUUCCUCCAUUGCCAUCCUCCCCCUUUGCCCGAUUUUGAUCCUCUCUUUUUUUUUCUCCCUCUCCCUCUCCCCCACCAUUCUUCUCGGGCUCCAACCCGGCCCUACCAUAGCCCAACCUUAUCUUUUCCACCUUCAUAUUUCACAACAGGUAGGAGUCAAGUCAAGCCACGCCCCUUUUAGGUGCCGGUCUUCUUUUGCAGAGGCGGGCGAAGGAGGGAGUGGCGGGCAAGAGAGGGGGAGAGAAAAAAAGCAAAAAAAAAAAAAAAGAAAGAAAGUUGCUGCUUCUGCUGGCAGUUUGGGGAGAUGGAACGGGGGAAGGGAAAGGGGAAGAGAGAAGAAGCAGGAAGGGAGGAAGGAAAAGAAAAAAGAAAGAAAAAAAAAGAAAAAGAAAAAAAUAAAAGAAAAAGAAAAAAAAGUUUUUUCAUCUCAUAAAAAUUUUUUUAUAAUUUUUACAGCGAUCUACAGUAAAAUUUUAUACAAAUACUUAAAAAACUAACCUUCCAAACGGGACAGUGAUAAUUCGGUAAUAUUCCGGGGUGGUGCAAAUCUCUAUUUUACGGUCAAAGAGCCUGCGUUAGAACUGAGCGCAGGGAAUUGGAACUUGAGCCCUCGUCAAACUUGACGGUCCAACAAACCGUUUAUUGCGGAGGGGACAGCGAGAAAACCACUCACUGCAAAACCGCCAAAAAAGGGCGUGGUGCGGUGGGGUGGGGAUAGAGUAUUUAAGAUAGUAUUAGAGAGGAGGCCGGAAACGGGUAGUAUAUUGUACAACAGAGUGAUAUUUGUCAAGCUACUUAUACGAGUCCCAAUACGGUAUUCAGCCGCUUAACGCACCAGCGUCACUCUCUGCAAACACGUACAACCACGGGGCAGAACGGGAGCAAGGCAGCAGAAGAAGCUAACCCCCUCAAGCAUCAUCAGAUCAGAUAGACCGACCCAGAUAGACACCAAACCUUUACUAGUACUUCUAGUACUACCAGUACCACAUUAUUAGUCAUAACAGCUAAGGAAAGCUUAGGAAAGGGAAAGGUAACCUCAGUACCAAAAACCUAAGCCUAACGUACGUGCCAACUGAGGUGCUCCUAAUUCCUAAGACUCUUCCCUUCUUUCUUCCUUUCUUUCUCUCUUUCUGCUCUUCUUCAGAACAACUCAGAAUUCAGAAGCAAAAGUUGCUAGCACUCAGUACCAUGUACACACGCAAACACCAUAUACUACUGAUUAGUUCAGUACUUAUACUGUUAAUCUAUUCUAGGUGCGUGGUUUCUUUCAACUUUUUAAACUGUAGCUUAAUGCAAAGUGUUUGACACUUUCACAGUCUAUUGUUGAGCUGCCGGUGGAGGCAACAAAUUCCUCUUUUGUUUAGAUCUCCGCUUGCGUUCUUGAGUUUUUGGCAGCUGGGCUUUGUGGGUAUUUUGUGAGAAGCUACGGCAGAUCUGGGUUUUCCUAUUGGAAUUGAGAGUUGAGGUUAAGAUAUUGUUGGAUAGGGUUUAUCCUAGAAAGAGAAGCAAAGAAAGAGAGGUAUUGAGUGCGGGUGAGAACUGGGAAUUGAGGAAGAAGGCAAAAGAGUAUUGGGUAGCUGGUUUUGUGGUUGGUUGGGGCCGGGUGAUUUUCCGUUUUUGGGUACAAGAAGUUUGGUCCAACAUACGCUUUUGGAGUUUCUCUGUUGGAUUUAGGGGUGUAUUUAUUAGAUCUCGUAUUUGCACAUCCAAAAAAAAAAAAAGCAAGGCAAAGAAGAAACCAUUUGCUAUUUGCUAUUUUUCAUUUCCACUAGUAGACCGAUGUAACGGAUGCGGCCAAUCCAAAAAGCAAUUUUGGCUGUUUGUUUGUUAAUACAUUGUGGAAGAGAACAAGAAGGUCAAGCAAGUGUUAGCAGCUAGCUUAGCUCAGUUCCGUUUCUUGAUAAAGAAAAAAGCGUUAUCUUGGGCUCCGACCGCAUUCUUGACUAGUUAGAAAAUCUUUCUCCCUGAAGAACGAAGCAUGGCGAACAGGUGGUGGGCUGGAAACGUGGCUAUGAAUCCGUUAGUAUCACCAUCGACUCCAUCUCCUUCUCUUCACCUAAGAAACAGUGCUACUGCAGAAGAUGAGAAUGCUGCUGGGCUAAACAGGCUUGGACAGCAAAGGAGAGACCAAGACUUCUUGGAUAACACUACAACAACCACCACCACCACCACCAAUACCACUGCCACUAACAGCAGCGGAAGCAACAAUAACCCCAACCCUAACCCAACCUCCCAAAACCCUGAUGAAGAAGAUAGCCGGGAAAAUGAGCCCGAAGCUGAGGAAAAUCCCGGAGCACUUGAAAUCUCUGAGCCGGGUAGCGGCGGUGGAAGUUCUGGAAGGCGACCUAGAGGCAGACCACCCGGCUCGAAAAACAAGCCAAAGCCGCCCAUUGUGAUAACAAAAGAAAGUCCUAAUGCUCUCCGAAGUCAUGUGUUGGAAAUAAGCAGUGGGAAUGAUGUUGCUGAGUGCAUUGCUGCCUUUGCCCAACGGCGCCAUCGGGGCGUCUCGGUUUUGAGUGGAAGUGGUAUUGUGACGAAUGUGACUCUGCGGCAACCGGCUGCACCUGGUGGGGUGAUAACCCUUCACGGGAGAUUCGAGAUAUUGUCUUUAUCAGGUGCAUUCUUGCCUGCUCCUUCCCCUCCUGGAGCUACUGGUUUGACAGUGUACUUAGCGGGCGGUCAAGGGCAAGUUGUUGGUGGAACAGUUGUUGGUCCCUUGAUGGCAUCUGGGCCGGUAAUGGUUAUAGCUGCAACGUUUACAAAUGCAACUUAUGAGAGGUUACCUCUGGAGGAGGAACCAGCCGGUGAAGGGAUUCAAUUGCAGGCAGCAUCAGGAGUUAAUACUGGAACUAUCACUGGUGCUUCUUCAGCUUCUCAAUCUCAUGGUAUGGCUGAUCCUGCAUCCUCUAUGCCUUUAUUCAAUCUACCACCUAAUAUGCUUCCCAAUGGCCAAAUGGGUCACGAGGUCUUUUGGACUCCUCCUCCUCGCCCCCCACCAUCUUAUUAAGGUCAAAUGAAAAGUGGUAGAUGAACUAUACUUACUAGUCACUUGUUUGUUCUCGAGCUCUAGGUCUCGUAAACUUAGGAAGUAGUAGCAAGGUUAGUUUUUACUUGACCCUUUUGUAUUCCUUGUGAAUCGCAUUUUCCAAUUGGAUAUUUAGGUUGAUGGAUGCUUUUGUAUUUAAUGAAUGUAACUUUUGUUUUUAUAAGUUCCAUUCUCUUCUUUGAGCAAUAACUAUUUAAUUCAUCUUUUCCUUUAGUGAAUGGCUUAUUCAGGGGUUAGACAGGUGGUGGAGAUGCUGGCAUAGAAAUGUUGUCCAUGAAAUAUGGUAACGUAAGUAUGUUACUAAUCUUUCACAAGUACUUCGAAGAAGUACUACUCUUCUUUAAUUCGAAUCUUUUAAUAAAAACAAUGAUUUCUUCAAUAAAAUAGCUGGUGUAGUUGAAUGCUUGAUAACUUUAUUGUAACUUUACUGUGUUUGUCACCGUGUGUGUGUGUGUGAGAGAGAGAUGGUUUAGUUCAUCUGCAUUCUUCAUGAAUCUGUCAUUUCUCAACUCAAUUGGCUGGAAAAGGUGGUUCCUUUUAGGUUGCAUGCUUUAACAUAAUUGAGCUUAGGAUUGAUCUUAAUUUUAUUUUUUUUUUCUGCCAACUUGGUUCAGAAAUUUUGUUUGAUUUCAUCUCUACCGUCUCCAAAUUGAGCAUCACUAAAUGGGAAAAUUUUAGGACCUGUUAACUAUUCCAAGCAAUUAACUCAUGUUCAUGUACCAUGUUUAUCAAGGAUGAUAUUAAGAAACAAAUGUUGGAGUAUUGUGUUUGACAAUUUUCUUUGAUAUGUCAAAAACCUCAUAAACAAGUUUGUCUAGUUAGUGUGUGAGUUAAUUUGCCAGUGCUAUUGAGUGUGUUUGUGCACUCGUUUAGAAUGGGUGGUUUCUCAAUUACAAUCAAUUAGCCCUAUAAUUAUGUGCGUUUAUUACAUGAAAUAUGGUUGGCUACAAGUGUUCAUUAAUUGUGUGCAUGGGUUUCUCUUUUAAUUUUUUUGUUGUUGUGAGUGUUGGGGGGGGGUGUUGAGGGGGGAGUGGAGUAAAUUAGGUUAAAAUGUUCCUUUAUUUGUUCUCACACAGCAAACAAUCUAAUAGUGUAAUAGUUCUUAUACAUCAUCUUGCCAUUUCUUCUUUUUUCCAUUUUUAGGUAAGCAACCACAAUUGCAAUUCAGACGCUUUAUACACGUCCGUCUAGCUUUAACCUAGUGCAGAUUAUAUGUCUACUUGUUCUUGGUUUUCCAUUAACUUUCGAAAACAAAAACUUAGACCAUCAAAUGAUAAAAUUCCAUAUAAUACGAAUCCACUUUGGCAAAAGGGGUAAAAAAAAAAAAGGAGUUAAGCUUGGCUAAUUAGUAUUAGCAAUUAAAGUGUUGGGUGCAAAGAAUAGGAAACAUUUUGAUUUUGCUGCAGUAGUGGAAUAUGUCUAUGUAAUCCGCUUAGUAGUAGGAUCAAGGUUGUCUUCUCUUGCAUAAACUCAAAGUCUAUGCUUCCAUUGAGCUAGCAAUUGCUGACUUGAGGUUGAAAAUGAUUGUUGUAUGCUUGGUGCAAAAGAUGGGGAGGAGGACUUCUUUCCUAGUGUUCUUCCUAAUCAUAUGGUUCACCUAUGUUGAACUCAGUGCUGGCUUAUGGAUCUCAUAUAUCCUAAUGAAGCACCAACAUUCUUAAACCUGAAGCGUAACUUUCCCAAUGUUGUUAACAUUGACUCUCAACUUGAUAAAUACUUGCUUGACACCUAUAGUGCUAAGUGUCUAGUAUCUCUUGUCUAAUAAAUUUCAUAAUUCACCAUGUGAUUUAAUAUCACAAUGUACUCUUCUUUGUAUAGGGAGAAAAUCAUAACAUAUUCAACUAAAAUAUAACUCAUUUCAGAUAAAAGUCAAUUAUUCACGGACAUGAACUUUAGGUACUAUUUUUUUCUUGCAAAGUUUAUACAUCAAUGCUGCAGCAUACUUGUUGGCAUGAACAGACAGUUUUCUUUGUUUGUGUGUACUCUGUUGAAUAGGAGAUGCGUGAAGGAGGGCGUACUAUGCAGGUUGCACAUUACAUAUAUGUAUGUGUUUGAAUAUAUGUGCACGCACUCACCAGCAUAUGCAUGUCUUAGAGUACAUUCUGAGCAUGUUUAGUGUAUUAGCAAACCCCUUAUCCACAAAUACAUAAUUCUUGGACCCUUCUUUAUAUGUUUGUGUCUGGGCAGCAAAUAAGUUUGAAAGAGGUCACGUUCUUAGCAACAUUUCGUCCUAUCUAGGUUGCAAUAUAUCAUUGGUUGCUGUGUCCUCCUAUUUCAUUGAGUUUCCUCCCAUCUUAAUAGUGAUAGCAUGUGUUCAUUCUUGACGUCAUGACUACUAAUAGUGAUAGCAUGUGUUCAUUCUUGACGUCAUGACUACUGCUACAAACGAAUCAAGUUCACAAGGCGGCUCGGUUAAAGCGACUUGAGCUUAGUCAACAUUGAGUUCAAGUCAAAUUCGAGUCGACCAAGUCAUCGAACUCGAGCCAAGCAUAGAGAAACUUAGCUUGUCGACUCGUGAGCUGGCUCGAAUACACAUAUAUUAUUUUAAUAGUGAAAUUACAUGUAUAUCUUUAAUAUUUUAUUAUUUAUUAAGAAAAAUGAUUAUUUUAUUCAUUUUUAAAAAUAAUAAUUUUUUUUUUAUUUUUUAAAACUUGAGCAGGCUCGAACUUGAGCUUAACUAGACUUGAAUUUAAGGUCAAACUCGAGUUUUACAUUGAAAGGUCAUCAAUUUGAGUUCGAUCUUUGUAAAUUUGAGUCGAACUUGAUUCAAUUGGAUUAAAACUUGACUCAUUUACAACCCUAAUCAUGAUGCUUCUUUUCUAAUAAUACUUUAAAGGAGACAUAUAUAUAUUUUUGUCAAUACGAUAGAUUAUCCUACACUAGGGGGGAGGGGGAGGAUCUGAAGAGGUCUCAGGGUAAUCCGGAGGGGAGUGAACCACCAUUGGAUCAGACGGGUGCACUAUGCACCCGCCUGGAUUUUUUGAGCAAAGCCACUUUAAUGUGUCAAAUUGGUGGGAGACCCACCCCACCAAGUUUUAAUGCAUUAGUGGUAGUCAUUAGCCCAAAGGAGACAUAUUAUUCAAUUCACGUGAUUUAUGCCCGUACCAAGACCCCAAAAAGGAGAAAAGGAAAAAAAAAACUUGAUAGAGAGGAGUCACAACCAUCAUCUGUAUAGGUUCACAGAAAGUGUGGUAAUUACUAUCCAUGCCACAUAGAAGUAUAGACAGGGAAAUUUUUUAGCUAUGUAUAAAAUAUUUUUGUCUUAGCAGUUUUUUAUGUCCUCCAGCCCUCUAGUGUAGCAGAUAAAGUACCAAAGUGACCAGAUUUAGAUAUACGUUCUCUUAUGGCUUUAUGCAAACAAAGAACCAAUACUUCAGAUUACUUGGAAACUUUUGGCUUAUAAGGUGAGCAAAAUGGUGGCUCUUUACAAGUAAUCAGCGCUAAUGACACUUUACAAGUAAUCAGCCCUAGUUAAUGCUCUAGAAAACCUUUUGAAGGUUAAAAUUCCAGAAUUAUUUUUAUUUUUAUUUUUUAUUUUUUGUGUGUUUGUCUGGGGGUGGUCAAAUAUUGUGCCUUGUGCAAAUAAAUUUUGUGAUCAACUUGCAUGUUCUUUGAUUUGAUAUAGUCUAAAGUACAAAGCAAAGCUGCUUGGAGUUUGGAUCGGGAAACUUGUGUUUACAGCUUGUACGCAUGGAUGCUAUUCGGGGGCAUGGUAUUAAGAUUCCUCUGUUGGUAUUUAGCGGCAUAUAAAAACUAUCUAAUAGUUGGUUAUCCAUGUAAAUUUUCUUUAAGAAAGUGUAAGUUAUGCACUUUGUUGUAAGUUGAAAAGAUUGCUAGCUGAUCGAUUUUAUUCUUUGAUUCUCUUUAUUCAUCGAUGAUUCUCCUUAUUCCUCUAAAAUGACUGGGAACUUCUGAUUCUGAGUAUGUAUUACAUUUUGUCUAGAGUUAAUAAGAUGAGACUUGAAAGAAAAAGAGAAAGAAAAGGAAAAAGAGAAGAUUAAAGAGACAGCUUGUUUUCUCUUAGAAUGCAUGCUAGAUUCUCUUCAGCUUAUUGUUUACCUUAUCUUUUCCGCAGGAUUUACUUUGAGGGAAAACUCGAAUUGGCAUGAGCAUUCUAUCUUUGAAUUUCUCCUACUGUUUCAUCCAUAAUUUGUUUAGGCUGAACACUGAUUUUUCUGUGUCCGUGAAACUGUUGCUGCUGUGAACUUCUCAGAACGUCAUUAAAAUAUCUGAAUCAAUUAGCAGAACAUAAAAAUAUGAAGUGGGAUAUCAGCAGCAAGAUAGAUUUUUUAGUUAAUCUUGAUUGAGUUUCCUGUUUCAGAACUGCUGAGAACCGUGGUCUGCGACUCAAUUUUCCAGGCAAGCUUAGAUGUGUCUGUUGGAAUAUGCUUAUAUUCCUUUUUCCUAGUGUUAAAAGAAGAAAAUGUAUUCACACAUUUCAGGCUUAUAUACUUCAGGUGCUCUAUGACCUUUUCUUUUCUUCACGGGGUGUUGCAUGUUUUGUAGGGACAGUAAUUUGUAAGCUGCUAUAAAAUGAUUUUGCUUGUGCAUUGUAUCCAUAAGUUUUGUUAUUCAGUGUCACCAACUGCGUUGCAUCAUCAAGUCUAGGGUUUUCUUGAUCUAAUUCUUGUUGGUAAACAUUUCAUUUUCAUAAUCUCUAAUGGCCAUGAUUUCAAGAUGUUAGCUAGUGGUUAAAUGUCUGCAUGGACCCAUUAACAUGUUGUCAUAUGUGUGAUCUAACCAGUUUAGGAUCCAUGCUGGGUUGCAUGCUUGUAGAAUUCACACUUUCCCUUGUCGGAGGUUUAUGCUGCCGGACUGGAUCGGUUAACCCCUACUUUGACAAAUAUUUUAGAUCAUUUUUGUAGGUUGAACAACAUUGUAGGGCACAGCGUAUGAUUCCAUUCGGGGACCAGGCUCUUUGUCCGUGUGCGCUGGCUUAACAUGAAUUGCUAGCUCCGAAGACCGCACCAAAGAAAAGGAAAAUGGCGACAGUCAUCAUUUGCAGAUGCAAUUUCUCUGUGGCGUAAGCACCAAAGAUGUCGUAAUUAGUCGUGGAUAGUUUCUUGAAAGGGAGAGAUAGAAUGCCAAGACGCUAGAUGCGUGUUCUUGGUUUGGUACCUUUGUUUCUAGCCACGGUAGAUGAGAGGUGGUUGUGGAUUCUCUAUGUCCUCCGUCUUCUCUAUUCUGACCUAACAAUAGGUCAAAUGUUGAAUUAGGCUCAAUAUCCCUAUCUACCAUUUGAAAUCGGUGAUUGUAUUGGUGCAAAUUAGCUCAACUCCACGUCAGUUAUGAAGACUUUGUCAUCGGUGAUGGUCGGCUAUUGGCUAUUAUCUCCAGCAGCCAUUGCAGUGGCUCAAGAUAACGUUGCUGUCACCGUGGUUAUAGAACUAUGGUCAUGGGGAGCCAUUUGCGUGAUCGAAGAAGCCAUUUCAAUUAUUUGUCGCUGAAAAUCUCAACAGUUUUCCUUUCUUCCAAUUGCCAGGACAGAGCAGAGCGUAAGCAAGAUGAUUUGGUUAAAGGUCCUUAAACAUUUGUUUGGAUGGUAGAUUAUUUGUAAAAUUUUAUUUAUUUCAUCAUUAAUAUAUUUUGUGAUCACAUUUUUGUCUCAUGUAUAUCACAUUAAAAAAGUGUUAUUGUAUUUAUUUUUUUAAUAUAUUAUCCCAAAUAAUCUACCAUAAAGAAAUCGCCAACUUCCCUGGCCCCCCUCCCCUUUUUUUUUAAACAUAUAGUUGAAAUUUAUUGUUUGGUUUUAUAUCUAAUUUUAAACAUAUAGUUGAAAUUUAUUGUUUGGUUUUAUAUCUAAAAUAAAAUGGUCAAAAUUGUUAGCUUGGGAAAAGGCAAAAGGGUGGAUCGAGAUUAUAAAAAAUGAUGGAAUUAGGUAAAGGUAAAAAUCACCUUAGUUUUCUUGUCGAAAACAACUAAUCACUCCCUUUGCAACCUUUUGGGCUUCGGACAUCAAAAAAUGGUAAGCUAUGUAAUUGUCCUUCUUUCCCACCACUCCAUCACCAAAUUUUGGAAAUAUUUUUAGCAAGCAACCAUUCAUUGGACUUUGACCGAAAUCCUAACCCAAAAAUUUGGGACUAUACAAAGCAAACAACAGGGAUCUAAAGGCGUGUUCUUGACAACACAAUCUAUUCUACCCUUCUCCUUGCCCUCUUUUAUCACGAGUGCUUUAGAGUCCUUUGCCUUAAAUGCUACAGAUUUGACCAUAACUGGCCCCCAAUUGAGAAUUUAUUCACCAUCAAAAACUUGAAAGCAACAUUGAAGAGAAAUUUGCCAUGGAAUAUAGAUCUUUUCACAAGUAGAAAUCAAAAUCAUAAUAGGAUGAUGACAUAUCCAAAGGGGUGGUGUGAUCGUGUGUGGCAAAAUUUUGUGUACAAAGAUUCUAGAUUCUUGAAUUAUAUAAUUCAUGAGAGUUUCCAUAUAAAAUGCAUAUACGUUGAUGAUUGAGGUUCACCCGGGAGAGUCAUAGUAGGACUAUAGGCCGUACUGUUAGGCCCAAAAUUGUGUCGUGGUAGGAGGAGGGCUCUACUAUUUAAUUUAACGUGACAUGGGGCGUCAGUUUAAGGUGCUGCAAUACUCUGGCCAUAGGCAUUGCUCAUAUAUAGAUUGCGUAAAUUCCUGAAAGAGUGGCUCCGAUAAGUUCGAGUUGGAAGAAGAGAGCUGGGAAAUAGCAUCCUCCCAUCCAUUUCCCGGAGGGAACUGUACCAUCAUUUGGCUGUCAUCACAAGCUUUAACUUCUGUGUAUGUAAUUGGGUCCAGUUCCAUCUGUUGUUGAUUUAUGAAAUUCGCUAGAUUCAUGUACUGAUCACACCCAAAGGCUAUCUCAGGAUUUGAGUAGUCUGCGACAUUAUAGCUUUCACAGCUAGACGUGACAUCCACUGCUAGACUAGCCAUUUGAGUCUCAAUCAUUUCGAUCUCCUCUUUCAGGCAGGCCACCUGAAUGAUGUAAAAUCUUAUUAAUUUAGGUAUCCAUCCAUAAAGAGGUAUAAUCUAUUGGCCUCUAUUAAUCAGUACGAGUUAAAAAAUGAAUGUGCAUAAAAAGUACAACAACCUGCUGUUCGAGCGCAAAGAUGUGAGCAACACAACCAUAUAUGGGAUCCUGCAUUCUGGCCAGGGCUUCAUAGGAUAUGGUUAUAGCAGCUUCAGCGCGGUUUUGAACUGGAAGAUUUAGCAAUAACUUGGAGACGUUGCUAGCUCCAAACACCCUAUGCACUGCUUCAAAAUGACUAGCUGCUUGUUCGUAACCGAAAUAAGGAGCAAACACACAUUCUAUUGUGCACCUUCUUCUCAAGAACUUGCAUGCUCCACAAGAAGAGCCCAUUCCCGUCAUUGUCGUAAGCUUUUCUAUCUGUAUUUUUCUUUUUCUUUUUUCAGCUUUCAAAUGGUUUUGAUUAACUCGAUGCAGGGGUGAGCUGAAAGCUUUAUAAUCACAGCCCAAUAGGGUUAUACACGUUUGUUUGAUUAUGGCUAAGAGACAUUCCAGACUUUACCUGAAAAGUAAUUUCUUUUAGGUCUCCUUUGUGGGCAGCAUUUUCAUUCGCAAAAUGGGUAAACUUUCCUGAUCUGUGUCUUUAAUUAAAGUGGCUUAUCCAGUUAAUCUCGAAGAAUUUGACAGUGUGAUGCCAUAUUUAUAUGUUUAACCUCUGUAAGUGUGAAAUGAUUGCCAAUUAGUUGUCCUAAUUAAUACUAAUGUAUCUCAGACAAAGUACAAGAACCCCUUUAUUCUACAAUAAUGACUUGGUUCGACAAUGCUUGCUCGAAAGUAGAAAAAGGGUGGACAAGAUUUUGGAGUAUUAUGUCGUAGAAGACUAAUCAUGAACUAGGUGAAGAACUUUUCUCCAAUCUUUUCAUCCAUCCAGCUUGACAUAUCAUAUCUUCCCUCAUUCUUUUUCUUGAGAAUCCUUCUCAAAAUUUAGCUCGCUCAAGCGAAUCUGAUAUUCUGACAGUAUUAGUUUGUUAUCUUUUUUCUGGGCUCAAGUCUUUCAGCUUGUAUAUAUAUUUCAUAUGGCCUGCAUGAUUCAUUGAGGAAUCGUUUUAGACGCAUGUAGAUAUUUCUUUUUUCUGCAUCAUCAUGCAUAUAUAUAUAGUACUUUAAUUGCUAGUAAAUGGUUCCCUUGGUUGGCUGUUUGCCACUCAAGCGAUGUGUAUCAUGGGUCGGUGGUCAUUGGAAUGACGGCCACCUACUCAUCUACCAGCGCACCCAAAAGCCGCAAACAGCUUCGUCCAUUCCUCUCUUCUGUGGUGGAACACAGAGAGAAACAGCCAAACAGAAGAUAGUUGAAAGGAAAGAUUAAAGUCAUUUUCCUUGAGUUAUCAACACAUUAAAAAAAAAUAAAAUGUUUUUUUGAAGUCUUCUCAAGGGCAAAGUUUUCUUGGGUCUUUAAAUGGAAAGUUGGCAUAAAUGCACGAGUACUAAGAUGGAUGGAAGGAACAAAAGUAUAACAUGGGAUGGUGGAGAGGAGCCAUUUCCACUUUCGAGUUUAACGAUGUAAGUGUCUCUCCCUAUCAUGAGUUCAUCAUAUGCACAAUUCCGCAUGCUAUGGUAGGCUUGCUAGCCGCCCUUGUCCGUCUUCUAGACGCCUGCCUCUCAUUCUGUCUUUUGAGUCCAUUCUUGAACUAGUUGUCACAUUUGAAAAGCAGACCUGGCGACAUUAGCACUCUGAGAUCAUAAAAAUACAUUUAUAGCAAGUUCUUUUUCCCCUAAUAAAUACUGGAUGAGGGAACGAAUUAAAGCUGGACUGAUAGUUCCUUGACUCUAGCAGUGUAUUGCAGAACAAGAGAGCGUGUUCUCCCAGAAUACUGAUAAUCGUUUCUAUUCUACCCAUCAUAACAUAGCUUUAGCUUUAUCUGUUUCUGGCUUUCUGACUGAUUUUAAAGCAUUAAGUUUAAUGAAGUGGGAGGGAACCACAAGAGGAAAGAGACAUUUGUGUCAUUGUGUUAUUAUAUGCACAUAAAAACAAAGUUUUUUCUUUUUGGGUCGCGAAUUUUUAUUGGCACUCUCUAUACUAUUGAUUUUACGGCGCAUACACAGGUACUUCUACCCGUGAAUCUUAUCCAAUUGCCUGUCAGUGAAGCAUUAGGUAAAAUGAGAAAAAGCGGAAUGAGAUUAAAUUCAUGGGUUGGGUUAUUUUUGUCCGUGGCACUAACGAGAAAAAUACUGGAGGAAAAGCUUUUUUUUUUGUUUUUGUUUUUGGGGGGGGGGGGGGGUUUGGAGCAAACAUUGAUAGUCUCUCAGAGGAAAUGCAAUUUGGAGGAGGAAGAAGCACAAGAAAAAGCCAGUUUUAGGUCAGAUUCCUUUGUCACUUCGAAUUUCAUGAAUAAAUCAAACCAGCUGAUCACUUGAUUGUAUACUUCUUGUUUUGAUUACUUUCCAACAUUAACUGACAUUAAAUGAGUACAGUUUUCCCUGAUAGACUCCAUGGAGGGUGGAGGCACUAACCACCCUGUUACAGUAUUAGUGCCUGUUUGAUAACAUAAAAAAGUGCUGAAACUGAAUUCAUUUAUGGAUGUUUGAUAAAUAAAAAUUCACCUGCUGAACUUAUUAAGUGGUGCUGAAUUUGUAUGUAUUUUUUUCAGCACAAGAAUCGUAGCUGAAUGCUUAAUUUGAUAAGAAUCAAGAGAUUUACUUCAACUACUUUAUCUUAUCUACCAAAUAUAUCCCUGUUUGUUAAUUACUUUCAAAAUUCUUAUCUAAUUAAACAACCUAAUAUUCCCUAUUCAAAAUCCUUAUCUAAUUAAACAAAACAAUCUGAUAUUCUCUAUUUAAAAUUUUUUUAACAAUAGUAUUUUUUUGCAGUAAUUUUCAUCCACAAACAUUUAUAUUUUGAUAUAUAUAUUUUUUUUGUGCAGAUAAAUAUUAUUUAUGUGAUGUAGCUUAUCCACACACACGUGGCUUUAUGACACCAUAUCGAAAUAUUAGAUAUUGGUUGUCUGAUUUUCGAAAUGCUUCUCGUCCAAGAUCAAAAGGAGAACGCUUUAAUCAAGCACAUGCAAGAUUGAGAAAUGUAAUUGAACGUGCUUUUGGAGUAUUAAAAGUUCGUUUUCCCAUUCUCAAAACGAUGAAACCAUACCCUUUUUCCACACAAAGAAACAUUGUCAUUGUAUACAUUGCUCUUCACAAUUAUUGUCAUUUUCAUACUUAACAAUUUUAAGUUAAUUAAAUCAUAGGUUCUAUUUCCUUUUUGGAUUAAAAGAUAGAAGGGUAAAAUUGUACAAUUUAGCUUAUUAAGCAUUAAGUUAUGAAUAUUUAUCAAACAGUAUAAAUAGAUUCAGUAUUAAGAUUCAGACAUUCAUAUAUCUCUUUUCAGUGCUUAAAAUUCAGCAAAUUAAUUAUUUCAGUAUUCAGAAUUCAAAAUUCAGGUUCAGUGUUAUCAAACGGAGCCUUAAUUUUUGGUCUUAGCAAUGCACAAAGACACUCAAACUAGGGGUGUGUGCAGUUCGGAUACCCAUUCCAUCCAUCAUUUGACUGAUCCGACUCACAUCUUGCGGGUCAAUCAUUUUCUGACCUUUACUCAUCCUGCAUAUCAGUGGAUACCCAGUUAUAAAAUAGGAUCGGAUCAACGAAUACCCGUCCCGCCCCAUUUAUUAUUUAAUUUUUUAAAAAAAUAAUUUAUACUAAUUUAAUUUUAUAUUUUAUACAUUCAUCUAAGAUUUAAUAAAAAAAAAAUUUCUCCAAAAAAGUCUCCCAGCAAGGAACAAGCAUGCGAAGAGAAUAUAAGAUAAAGGAAAAAAAUUAAAAGAAUUCAAAAUCAAUAAAAGUUUGUAAUAAGUAGCACAUUUUUUAAAAUAUAUGUUCCACUUAAUUAAACUCUUUCCAAUAAAACAUAAGAUUAUGACCUCUACAAAUGAAUCUUGUAAAUAAACUAUAGUCUCUCAUAUUUGUGAUGCAAUUUGUUCAAUGAAAUUACUUAUUUAACUCUAAAUUAUUAUUUUAUAGUAUGUGUAUAAAAAUAAAUAAAUAUAUAUAUGUGCUGGGCGGGUCGGGUACCCCGCGAAUUUUUAAUUAUGUGACUCUAACUCGCCCCGCAUCUUAAUAGGUACCUGAUCAAAUAAUACAAAUCUGGUAUCCUAAUUUUCUAAUCAAAUUGGAUCGAAUAUGACGAGUUUUCAGAUCAGCAGAUAAUUUUGCCCACCCCUAACUCAAACAGUGCCAUGAAGUAAACAAUGCUAAAUAAGAGCUUCGAUAUAAUGAACGUUGGAAAGAAUAUACUAUCUCUUCCUUCCUUUUGGAUUUAAAGGGAAAUUAAAGGUCUUAAAAGGAGAAAAUGGCAAAAUAGAGGACUUAUUAGUCAAAUUAAGAACUUCACGUUUACCUAAUGAAUUGGAUUCGUAGCCUCACAAGUUUCAUUCUACUCCAUGGUGGGAUAAAUUAAAAUUUUCAAAAUUGUUACAUCAUUUUCCAACUUAAUUGCAUCACAUUUAAACUUUUGUCACACCAUUUUUCAACACAAUUACACCAAAAGACAAACUUGUAGAAAAUGGAACUUGGCAGAUCCCAUAUGCUAAUUAAUGUCCUUACCGGCUUCAAAAACCUAAGACAAGAAAGUGUUAAUUGGGUGUCGAAUACGCCUUGGUAAUACUGGCCAUUGGGCCAGGUCAAAUUUUGAUAUUUAGAGUCAAUGCAGCUCACAAAUUGGGCUGUAUUUAAGUUUGUUGGACCGAACCCAAACACAAAAUGGGUUGCAAUACGGUUUCCCACUUUCAAGCCUGAACCAAUUGAGUUGACUUUGCCACUGGGAAGUCUUUCCACUAAUAAAUUAAAUAAAAAAAAGGUUGCUAUUGGCAGCCAGAUUUUCUGAGAACGAUAACAAUUAUACAAUCUAUUCUAUCCUAAUCUAUAGGGGAGGGAGAGUCCAAGGAAACUUGUAUGUAAGGGCUAGUAGAUAUGCAGACCUGACUAAAUCAAAAGAGUGCUAUGGCACCGCUAUUAAAUUUUUUUUUUUUAUUGCAGGUGGGGUUUGAACUCCCACCUACAACUCAAGGAGGAAGUUAAAUCCCUUCCUAGUGGCCACUAAACUAUGCUCAGUGGUUUAUUGGCAGCGUGUUGAAUGAUAGUUUUUUUUUUUUGGGAAAAAAAAAACAAAAAGAAACUCUCCUUGUCCCGAUAAGUAAAUUACCCAUUAUUGACUCUUUUGAUCUACAUUAUUCGUUCCUAUCCAAACAAUGUCCUCUUAUUUGAAAAAAAUUUAUCAGAAACCCUCUGCGUCGUCUUAAAUUUUGUUUCAGCCAUCAAAUAAUAUGCUGUCCCGUUCAAGUUUAAGAAAGAAAACGAUGUGAUUAAGGCUCCAAGAACGGCACCCGUGUGGAGCACAUAGCUGACAAAUCCGGACAAAAUCAUUUGCUUCUACGAUUUCUAACCAGGAAAUUACAUUAUCAAGACAGAGCAAGAAUAAAAAAUAAAACAAAAAAAGGAAAUUGAAAAGUACCAUUUAGCCCUGACCAAGUUUUAGCACAUGGUACCGUUACCACCCUCUAUAUGCCACUAAAAUAAAGGGGAGAAUAUAAACAUAUAUAUUUCUGGAUAACAAAGGGGAAAAAGAUCAUGAAUCAAUAGCCAAUAAUUCUUCUUUUGUUCCUUCCGAGUAGUAUUCUUCGGUGCACAAGCGACGUACAUAUACAUAUAUAUAUAUAUACAUAUAUAUAUGUAUAUAUAUAUAUAUGUAUAUGUAUAUGUAUGUCUAUGACUGAAGAGAUAGCUUUGUGGCAAUCAAAUUACCAAAUUUUAAGUGGAGAGGAGCAAAGCUAAAGCGCUAACCUCAAGAUUCUAAGGAGGAUUUCAACAGGAAGCGUAGGCUUGCCACGUGGGGAGAAGGCAAUCUUGAGUGUGUGGCGGUUAAGAAUUCGAAAGCCAAUCCUUUGGACUUCAAUUUCUGUACACUCAAUUACGCCUAUAAGUUCCCCUCUCUCCUAUAUCCUCGCUGGUCAUAUCGUUAAUAAGCACCGGCUCCUCCACUCCCACCCUUCACUUUGCACUUUCAAAACCUUCCAUCUCUCACUCUCCUUCUCAGCCAGUGGGAUCACAAAUAACAAUGGCAGCCGCCGUCUCCUCAAUCGGAGCUGUCAACUUUGCCCCGGUACCUCAUCUUUUCCUUUUCUCUCUAAUACCUUUUGGGAUUUCAAAAUCAUCAAGUUAAGUACAUGUAUGGUUCGCUGUGUUUAUACCGGUUGAUUGCUUGAAAUUUGAUUAUUCUAACAUAAUAUAACUUAAUUAGUCUUCUAAGUACUUGCCUGAGUAAUACUCAUGUCUAACUUGAAUACCUUUUGUCCUGGAAAAUACUUUGGGGGGUUAAAGUAUCCACUCCAGUUCGUAUAACUAUCUACUCUUGAAGAUGGUACUGAUUUUAAGAAAGACAACGAUCAGAUUCCAUGCAUGUACUUCUAUUUAAACAAGCGUACUUGUCUCAGGACUAGUUGUGUGCUAAGACAGGAUUGGAACCAUUGAUGAUAAAAGUUAACAACUUAAAUGGGAUCAAGAUGAAGUGUUCUGGUUUUAGUUGAAGCAAGAGUAGCCAUCGAUUAGAGUUCUAGCUCAAUUGGAAUGAAGUCGCAUGUGACGCUGCUUUUUGUUUCUCGAUCUGCUUAACCUUCUACUGAUACGUGGUUUUGGUAGUAUUUUACUAGUGAUUGACAAGGUUUGGAUUUGGUUGAUAUGCGUACAGCUCAACCUGAAUGGCUCUGGAGCUGGAGCUGCGGUUCCUAGCUCAGCCUUCUUCGGCAGCAGCCUGAAGAAGGUGAACUCAUCCUACACAGCCCCAAAGGUUUCACCGGGAAACUUUAAAAUCGUGGCUACUGAGAUUGACGAGGGUAAGCAGACCGAGACGGACAGAUGGAAGGGCCUAGGCACUGAUACCUCUGAUGAUCAACAAGACAUCACCAGAGGAAAGGGUAUGGUUGAUUCUCUCUUCCAAGCCCCCUCGGGAACGGGAACCCACUAUGCUGUCCUCAGCUCUUACGAAUACCUCAGUCAGGGACUUCGCACGUAAGAGUACUAUUAAAACUAAUCCUCACUUACUAUGAGAUUGGAAUUCAAAGUAUUAACUCACUAAUCAUGCUGAGCUGCUGCCUGCUGCAGAUACAAUUUGGACAACACCAUGGACGGUUUGUACAUCGCUCCUGCCUUCAUGGACAAGCUCGUUGUUCACAUAACCAAGAACUACAUGUCCUUGCCUGGCAUCAAGGUAAAUGUACUUGAUAUCAUAUAGUAUUAAUGUGAAGCAUUAUGUAUGUAACCCGUACUCAUCAUAGUAAUGGCUAAUCGCACUAUCGCAGACUCCGAUAAGUGGAACUGUACUACUUUACGCAGCCACGUGUAAUAAAAAUAAAAUAUUUUCUAAAUAAACAAUUUUAACCUCCACACUAGUACGCAAAGGACAUUCGUAAUUAACUGGUGAGUAUCGAUUUUAUUAAAAUACCUCCUUCAGUACUGAACCAUCUUUUAACAAGAUCCAUCACCUAAGUAGUCUCUGUAAUUGCCGUGCCAUGGAAAGUUGAUAGUUUCCCCCUUAUUGUGUAAUAGGUCCCCCUCAUCCUGGGUGUCUGGGGAGGCAAAGGUCAAGGAAAAUCUUUCCAGUGUGAGCUCGUCUUUGCCAAGAUGGGAAUCAAGUGAGUUUUAUAUAGUUGUUCUUGUUUUCAUAGUUCAAGUUCUCCACAAGAAAAAUGUGGAGGUCGGUUCAUAGGUUGAGUACAAAAACACGAGUCUUGAGUUACUGGGGUUAAUUAUUGAUUGGGUUUUUCAGCCCUAUCAUGAUGAGUGCCGGAGAACUGGAAAGCGGAAAUGCAGGAGAGCCAGCCAAGCUUAUCAGGCAAAGAUACAGGGAAGCAGCUGACAUUAUCAGGAAGGGAAAAAUGUGCUGUCUCUUCAUCAACGAUCUUGAUGCCGGUGCUGGUCGUCUCGGUGGAACUACACAAUACACUGUUAACAACCAGAUGGUUAACGCCACCCUCAUGAACAUUGCUGAUAACCCCACCUGUGUCCAACUCCCCGGUAUGUACAACAAAGAAGAGAACCCCCGUGUGCCCAUCAUUGUCACCGGUAAUGAUUUCUCCACCUUGUAUGCUCCCCUUAUCCGUGAUGGUCGUAUGGAGAAAUUCUACUGGGCACCAACCCGCGACGAUCGUAUUGGUGUCUGCACCGGUAUUUUCCGAGCUGACAAUGUUCCUCAUGAAGAUAUUGUCAAACUUGUCGACACUUUCCCUGGUCAAUCCAUUGGUGAGUUGGGAACUGGAUAUACAUUAAUUAAACUAGGUAGGGCUGGCAUCUUAAUCUCAUUUUCGGUUUGAAAACUGAUAUUGGACGACUGUCGUGCAGAUUUCUUUGGUGCAUUGAGGGCAAGAGUGUACGAUGAUGAAGUGAGGAAGUGGGUUUCCGGUGUUGGAGUGGACAAAGUUGGGAAAAAGCUCGUGAACUCAAGGGAAGGCCCUCCACAGUUCGAGAAGCCUGCCAUGACCUUGGAGAAACUCCUCGAGUACGGCAACAUGCUCGUCCAAGAGCAGGAGAACGUGAAGAGGGUCCAAUUGGCUGACAAGUACUUGAACGAGGCCGCUCUUGGUGAUGCCAACGAGGAUGCUCUUAAGAGUGGAAGUUUCUACGGUUAGCUUUCUUGAUCCUAGCUACAGGCCUUGAUAGGAGGUUUGCUUCUUUUUCUUUAUGCAAAAGGUGAUGAUCAUGUGCAAUUGGAAAACGUAGUAGGAGAAAUUUCUCUCCUAAACAUUGGUUUCCUGUUUUUUGUUUCCCCCUUCUUCUACUCAGGCAAAGCAGCUCAGCAAGUGGGUGUUCCAGUUCCUGAAGGAUGCACUGACCCUAAUGCUAACAACUUUGAUCCCACUGCAAGGAGUGAUGAUGGAAGCUGCUUAUAUACUCUCUAGGCCUUUCGGGGGAAGCAACCAAUUAAUCGACGCAGGAGUAAUUUAUAAGCGCGCAAAGGAGUCAAAAAUAAAUCGUUGUCGCCUCUGUUUCUUUAUGGAUUACCGUCCUGUAAUUUUGUGUCAAAGUAUGUUAUACACUCGUCUCAUCCUCGAAUUCGGAUUUUUGUGUAUUUCUCUCUCUCUUAUUCAAGACUUUUUUUUUUUUUGGGGGGGGAAGCUUAAUGAGGAGGUUUCGUUCAUGUUAAAUCUGCAAGAACUGCAACCAGACCUUUCUCCCCGGUUCCCAGUCAAGACUUAAUCUAAUGUUUGUGUCUGAUUUAUUAAGCAAGAAAGUUCGUCUCCACUCAUGUAUUGCGUUCUUCAGCAUUUUGUUUUCGCUGCUUGUGAAUAAUGAUGAAGAGGGACAGAGUAAAUUUAAGAUUAAAAUUGAUCCGUCAGAGAAUAUCUCGCGGAGAAGGUAGUGUUUUUUUUGAAGGAUGCGGAGAAAGAGUUCAAAACCGGUGCUCCGAAUGUAAGUUCGAAAAUUUCAAUUACUAUUUUGAUAUUUUGAUGAGCUGGCUACUCUAACCUUCUGUCAAAUGAAUACUUCAUCGUUUUGUCAUGUGGCCAAAUUUAAUUUUCUAUUCGAACCAUUAUUAAGUACUUUAGUUUUGGUAGCAAUCAAUUCUAUGUUUGAUUUUUCACCCAAUUAUACUCUUCUCUUUUUUCACUUCUGUAACUAUAGGAACUUUUAAUCAAUCAUUUACUUUUUUUUUUAUUUUAUAUGCGUUUGUAUUAAUUAUGCCUUUCUAAACUUUUUUGUCAGUCACUUCAUAGUAGUAUCUCAAUUUUUUUUUAUUCUUUACCAAUCACCUUUUCUAUUCUUAUUAUUUGGUCUGAUUAGAUAUUAUAAUUACUAAAAUUGAAUAAUUUGAACUCUUUCUAAAAUUCGAUCUCAGUUCCCUAUCUUUUCGCUACGUGCCAAAUUUAAUGUUUUAUUUGAGUAGCUUUUUGAGUAUUUUAUUUUUGGUAACAAUCAAUUCUAUUUUUAUUUUUUCAUGCACUUAUCCUUUUUUUCUUUUUUACUUCCUUAACUAUAGCAACUUUCAAAACUUUAUAGUAUUUUGCUUUUUGACAACAAUCAAAUCUAUCUUUAUUUUUUCACAUGCUUAUUCUCUUUUCCUUUUUUUUUUUUUUUUACUUUCUUAACUAUUGCAAUUCUCAAUCAAUCUUUUAAUUUCAAGCAUCUCAUAAUUUUCUUUUUUUUAAAUAUUUUUUGAUCACAUUUUUUUCCCUUGUUAUUUGGUUUGGUUAUAUAUUACUAAUAGUUUCUUUAUUUUGCAUUUAGCAACACAAUUAAUAUCGCAACAUCAAUUUUGAAAGUCCAAAUGUUUAUUUAAGUAGAUAGAGUAUUUUUUGAUUAACUAUUCAAAUAUAGUUUGAGAAUGAAAAAAGGAUAUAGUAUAUGUACGUGAAACUUAAAAUGAACCAAAUUCUAAACAAGAAUAGAGUUAGGUAAGAAUACUGAACAAAAUAUUGUAACAAUCAACAUAAAGUUAAGGUUAUCAAUCAAACUAAUAGUGAGCAAAUUGUAUCAAAAUUCAAUCUAAAAUUAAUUUAGGAACUAAUAUAGUCUAUUAGACCCGUGCAUAUUUUGGGGCAAUAUUUUUAGUAAGAAGGAAAGAAAUAUCAUAAUGUGUUCAAUAAUAUUUCAUUAUUUUCCCAUGAAAAGAUAAUAAAAUAAAAGAUUAAAAGAAAGAGAGAAAAAAAAGCUGUAUAUUGUUUUCAUUAAUUGAAAAUGUAAAGUUCAAAAAUAAAAUUAUUACUUUCAUUACAUAACUAUGGAAUUUUAUGAACCUCUCAUGGUUGAACAUCCAAAGCCAUGACUUUGUAUUCCUUAGUUUUCUUGGGGAUGAACCUCCCCUACUUUCAACUAAUGGAGAGAAAUUAACCAAAUUUGUCAUAAAUGUACUUCAAUGUCUCCAAAAUGCCCUCAUAAUGACAUAAGCAGAUUUUUUCCCAAAAAAAAAAAAAAAAGAUUACAAUUGUGAAAAUUUGAUGACACUUAAUUCCAUGUGUAGCCAUAAAAUUUGCUAGCCAUCCAAUGAAGACCGGAAGACCCCUAACUUUUACAUAAAAUCAAAGGCGAGAUAAGUGUAAUGUACCCAUUUUAUUAAAUAUCAGCGAUUGGUUAACACGUUUCUAUUAUUCCUUUAUCUUUCAGGCCAGUGGGGUCAUUCCCAAAGUGCAGUGUCCAGUUUUUUGCAGCUUUAGCCAGGCAGAGCAAAAACUGGGUAGAUCACUCAGAGAAAUUUUCCUAUAUUUGGCAAAAGCAGACCGAACUUAGAAAGGCCUCAAAUUGAGAGUAAGAUUUAAGAUUAGGGAGAAUAUUGAUGUGGAUGCAAGAAAACAAUGAGCAUUCUUUGAUUAGGCACCUUGAAAUCGUGGAUAAAACUAGAGAAAGUAUGCAACGCAGAAAAGUAGCAAGAAUCAAAAGCACAGUGGAAUUGCAAAAUUGGAGGGGGAAGCAAAUUAAACUUCAUCUUGCAUGCGCGAUGAUAUUUGUUGAUUGUUUGGAUCAAAAGCACAAUGGGAAGGUUUAAAAUCAAUCAAUGUAGAGAAAAAUGUGACCGGUCGAGCAUGGCGCAGCGCAUGCAGCUGGGGAAUUAAUGCUUCCUGAACACGAUGUUUAUAGUGAAAACAAUUUGGUAAAUGGUUAGGCAAACUCAAAGUUGUCGUGCAGGUGUUAUCUGUGUCCAGAUUCCUGGGUUCUGCAUGUCUUAUUCAAACUGCCUAGUCCAAAAAAUUUCCAGCUUAGUACCUUGCACGUUGCCUGUUUAAGUUAGCACUUAUCCAUUGUUCCUUUCUAACUUUGCUCAACGCACGAAACUUAACCUUAGAAAUAAGGGUAAUAUCAGAAAGGUUUCUCUUAAUAUCACUUGGCACCUAUAAGGUUUCAAAAAUAUCACUUACUUUCUUUACUUUUGUUAUUUGUGUAACAAAAUUUUUAAAAACCUUGAACUACCCUUUCACUUGCUAAAUAAAAAUAUUCCUAAAUCACAUUGUUCACUUCAAGAAAACCAUCACCUCAAAAACAAUCUCUCGUAGUACUAUCACAUUACAAUACUAUACCUCAUAAAAAUAUAAAUUUGAAAAAUAAAAAAAGAAAUUUGAAAAGAAAUUAGUUGCAUCAAUUUAAUUUUAUAUGUUCAAAAUCGAUUCCUAUGAAUUUAUAUUUUUUUUCUAAUAACUUCUCAACCCUUAUUCAAACCAUUAAACUGUACCAAUCAUUAUAAAAAUCAACUCAAAAUAAGCAAAUAAGUCAUACCCCACUUUAUCACAAUCAUAAAAAGUAAAAAAUAAACAAAUUUUAAUUUGUUAUAAUUUACAAAUAAAAUAUUGCAUAGUAAUCCAAAAAAUAUGAGUUGGAGAAAAUGAUGAGAAAAAGGAAAAAAAAAAGAAGAAAAUGACUUUCUUUUUUUUUUUUUAAUUUUUGAGCUCUAUUUAUUUGAUAUAUUAUGAAUUAUGUGUCAAGUGAAGGUUAAUAUAGUCUUUUUACAAUUGUGUGAUAUUUCUAAAAUCUCAAGGUGCUAAGUGACAUUAAGAGAAAUCUCAAGAGAGGUUUCUGAUAUUGUCCCUAGAAAUAAUAAAAAAGCUUCUCACUUUUUUUUUUUUAAUAAGGGAACUCAUAAUCGCUAUCUAAGAGUGUGCACAGGAUAAAUCCAGUUUCAUAUAAUAAUCCGUCAAUCACACGGAGGGAUAAAACACACUAGACAAAUCUUGUGUGGCGGAUAGAUGUUCCAAAAGAGGUUUAAACCUUAAUUGGUAGAAAUAUAUAACGCCAACUCUAUCAUGUCGGCUAACUCAAGAAACAAAAAGCCUCUCACAUUGUUUUGCCUUCACGACGAAACACGUGUCAAGCGUCAAGAUUCUUUCCAAAUUAGAUUUUAACACAAUUUGGGCUUUUUCCCAACCUUGAAUACGAUAGUUCCUGUUAUUUUUUAUUCUACAAUUUGAGAAAGAAUGGUCGAAAAGAAAUUCAAACUGGUUAUGAACAACAUUACAAUAUUUAAACCUGUGUAAAUGAUAUAGCAUAUCUAACUUCUGCCUUUGAAAUGCCAAGAAAGUCGGCCAAAGUAAAGAAGUUUUGUUUAUCCAAAGCAAGCAUUAAUGUUCAUCUCAUCAGCAUCCGGCAACCGCAAAGCUGAAGACGUCAAAUGCGCGCACUUCAAUGGACUGAGACUUUUGUUUUUGGUCGAGCACAGAAGUGAAAUUGCGGAUAAAACUGAAGCUGUUGCUCAAGCCGAAUAAUAUACUAUAUAAUUACACAAAAAAUGGUUUUUAUGGACGUGUUUUCAUUUACUCAUCAAAAGGGAGGAAGAAGGUUAGGGGAUAGAUAAAAAGCUACAUACAGGAUGGCUAUACCAUUAUUUCAAAAAAUUUUGGAUAAUAACUCUCUUCUGGUUUUCGAAUUAUCGUUUGAAAUUGGAAAACAAUGGCAGAAUCCGAUCCAAUAGUUAACCGGUUGAUACUUUGUAGCGCUGUUUUAUAAUUGGUUUUAUUUUAAUUUCAAAAGAAGUGCAAAGCAAAGGGAAAAAGUUACAAUUGGUUUUAUUUUAAUUUCAAAAAAAAUGCAAAGCAAGUUGUGUGGAUAUUAUAUAAUAACGAUAGCAUUUCUUUAAUCUAAUCUGAUAAAAUUAAAAAUUUUAUAGAAAAAAAUCACUAAAAAUAAUCGUAUAUCCCGUAAGAAUUGAUUCGAACACUUCUGUAUAAAAAAUAAAAAUCAUAUAAGAUAACAAUUUGAUAGGAGCCCAGAGUUGAACCUUUGUCCUAGCAAGUUUUUGGCAGCGACCAAUAGGAGAAAGGGCUGGUGGUUGUGAACUUUUUGUAGUCAGCUUAAGAAAGUUGUGUUGAAAUUGGGUAGUCAAUUCAACUUUUUGACUGACGAGGUCAUCAUUUAUAUUAGCACUAUGAAUUAGUGUAUUCGAACUCUUACUUUCGUUCUUAGCACUAUCAUUUACUACAUUCGAAUUCUUACUUUUAUUCCUAAACUUGAAAAGAAACACUUCGAAAAAAA